UUGAAUAAACCUGAUGUAGUUGUAGCUGGCUCUCUCGGGAGCAUGUGCUCGCUCGUCAUCUUUAUAUUUCCACCUGUGCACCUUUUGUAGACCCAGGCGACUUGAGCAAUCAAGUCAUUUGGGCCUAUGUUUUAUCAUAUACCCCAUAAGUAUGUAUCAGAAUGUAUCAAUGGGCUUCGUGCCUAUAAACACUAUA
This 196-nucleotide unclassified non-coding RNA is filed under the name uncultured fungus. Its description in RNAcentral is "sequence contains ITS1, 5.8S rRNA gene". The record is from RNAcentral. Lineage: Eukaryota; Fungi.